GACGAACGCUGGCGGUGUGCUUAACACAUGCAAGUCGAACGGAAAGGCACUGCUAUCGUGGGCUGCCGGGGGGGCGAACGGGUGAGUAACACGUGAGUAUCCUGCUCUUGAUUUUGGGAGAACUUCAGGAAACUGGGGCUACUACCGGACAGGAGCCCCUGCUGCAGGGAGGGCGUGGGAAAGUUUCGGCUGUUGGGGAUGGACUCGCGGCUUAUCAGCUUGUUGGUGGGGUAGUGGCUUACCCAGGCUUUGACGGGUAGCCGGCCUGGGAGGGUGACCGGCCACAUUAGGACUGAGGUACGGCGCAGACUCCAACGGGAGGCAGCAGUGGGGAGUAUUGCACAAUGGGCGGAAGCCUGAUGCAGCGACGCCGCGUGCGGGAUGACGGCCUGCGGGUUGUGAACCGCUUUCGCCUGUGACGAAGCGUGAGUGACGGUAAUGGAUAAAGAAGCACCGGCUAACUACGUG
This 468-nucleotide ribosomal RNA is filed under the name uncultured bacterium. Its description in RNAcentral is "partial 16S ribosomal RNA". It matches the Rfam family "Bacterial small subunit ribosomal RNA", at positions 28 to 507 of the family's 1533-position model. The record is from RNAcentral.